RNAcentral lists this non-coding RNA (27 nucleotides) under Homo sapiens (human). The record is from RNAcentral. Lineage: Eukaryota; Metazoa; Chordata; Mammalia; Primates; Hominidae.
UAAAAGGCGAUUGGAAACAACAGUGGA